GACAGUGUUUGUUUCAUUGUUUGUAUGAUAUAUAUUGUCCCUAAAUAUUGCAAUGUAACAUUCACAGGGCAUCUCGUCCCGAACUAUGUCACUAAAAGACUCGUUGUACAGAUUGAUCAUUCGUAUUCCUCUGUCGUAACCGGAAUAAAUCAAUCGGUUAUCUUUCAAUGCAAUGCCAUAACUGUUGGAAUCUAGUGAAAUGGUUUUCUUGAUUUGUUUCUUUUCCAAGUCUAUAAUAGUAAUACAAUUCUUAUCGGAACUACCAGAUGUAACAGCCAAUGUAUUGUCCUCACUGAUGUACACUAUAUCAAACGCUUCACAAGGCAUCUUCACUUCAAAGUCGUUAAAUCCGUUCAUGUUAAAUAUAAUUACCUUACAAUCCCAGUAGUAAGUAAAUGCCAAUCUACCAUCCGACAGCAUGCAACAUCCGUAGAUUGAGUUUCCUUGAGUGUUGAAUGUCUUUUGUAUCAUUAGUGUUAUAUUUUCAAGGGAUUUUGAUUGAACGGUCGGUAUCAUCAUUUGUCUUGUUUCGCCUUUUAUCGCAAUAUCGCAAGAUUUAGCCUCAAUACGCACUUCUCCAAAAGUUAAGAUAUCGGACAUGAUAUUCCUGAUAAAGAUGUUGGUCUUAUAUGAAAGAGAAGUUUGCUUAAAAUUCCUGCUUUCUUCAAGCUAUUGCAGCAAUUUAUUAUUGCUAUAGACGUCCUCCUCUAUUUUUUUCAUUGAAAGAAACACUUGCAGGUCCGUUGCAUGUUGCUUGAUGUUCAUAAUGUUUCUUUGGCAUUCUGCUAUUUCCUUUUCUUUCUUUUCUAUUGAUGACAAUAACUGACAAAUUCUCGAGUUUUCUUUUUCUUCUACUGCAUAUAGCUGUUUCAUUAAAUCCUCUUGUAUUUUUUAAGAUGGUUGUUGAUCUUUAUUCUUGUCUUCUUUAUUUCUUUUUCAAUUUCCUUUCUACUUUCCUUAAAUGUCGUCAGAUUGUCCUGUUGAUGCUGACGAAUUUUCUGUAGAUCUUCUGCAACUUCAAAUAAUGUUUCCUCUAUUUCGCACAUCGCAUUGAAGGUUUUGACAUUGUGAAUGACGUCAUAUAAUUCGACGAAAUCUCGGCUUUCGUUAUGGCUUUCCACGAUACAUUUGCCCUAGCAGUGGAAUUCAUGUUUUUGGCAAUACAUUUGAUACUUUUUAUCAUGUUUACUACAGUACUGAGUAAUUCUAAGUAUAUCAUCUGGUAAUUUCAGGUAAUCAGUGAAAGAUAUAACGCUAUGACUUCUCGAUGACUUCGACAAGCUAUGAUGUUCUUUGAUUCUGUACAUAAUCCCUCGUCACAUUCUGUACACCAGACUAUAGGUGCUUUGGUAAUUUGACGAAUGCCACAAAAACCACAGCUCUGAGAUGAUGUUGACAUUAAACACUACAAAUAACAAUACCUGAUUUAAAGGUUUUAAACAACAACACCCAAUCAAUCAACAUCAAACAUCUAACGUGGUGACUUAAUUUAGUUUACUGUCGAAGUACGUGUUUCUCUUUGGGUACUCCGGUUUCCUUUAUCAAUUAAAACAGGUUUGAAUCAUAAUAUAGUCAUAAUAUAUUUAUUUAAAAUUCGGAAUUAUGCUCAUCUAUCUCAUUCUACAGUUAUCUUAUAGUUCGUUUCUGUGUGAGUUGCAAUGCCGUGUUUUUUUUGCACUUUGGUAUUUCUGUUGUUUUGUGGUUUUCCUCUUAUAUUUGAUGUAUUUCCCUCAGUUUUAGUUUGUAGCCCGGAUUUGUUUUCCUUCAAUCGAUUUAUAACUUUCGAACAUCGGUAUACUACUGUUGCCUUUAUAUAUCAUCGCUUAAAAUGAAAAUGAAAAUAAAAUCAAUUAAUUGCAAGUUGUGUAGCAUUCAGAGUCACAUAUUUGAAAUUGAUAAAAUCGGGCAUUUAACUUUUUAUAAAAGAUAGUCGAAAUGUAUAUAAAGAAAUUAAUCUAGAUUUGAUCUAGAUAUAAAGUUUAGUAUUUAAGGGUCACAGAUAUAGCGAUUGGUCGUUUGAAACAUUUAUCGUAAUGGGUAAGCAACCACAACAGUUUAGUUUUGAUUAUGGACUGAUACAAGCCAGCUAUUUUCAUCAAUUAUCUGAUUAGAGUUGGAUAAUAGUGAUAUAUUUAAUGAAUUACAAAUAAAUAUACUGAUAAACCUUUUACAUCGUCACACUUAAUAAUUGCAUGUUACAUAUAGGGGUGGUUUUGCAAAGGGUUAUUAGGUUCUUAUGUUACAGGACAAAGAUAUCUAAAAAAAAGUAACCUUGCUGUAGUUACAAAUACAUUAAUUAUUAAAUCGUAUAUACCUAUAUGGAGUUUUUUUCUUUCAUAGCGAUAGGUCAUUCUUUUGAAGAAUCAACCCGGACGAUACCAUGUAUCAAAAAAAAAAAUAUGGCUCAAGGCAUAUAAUUUACUACAACAUUUAAUCGUUUGAUAGUUUGUUGUUGUCAAUUGUGGAAUUUAUUUUUUAUAAAGUUCCAUCUUUGAUAGAUUUAACAAAAAAUCGCCAUUGACGCGAAUUUAAUUUGACCUACAUGCAUUGAUAUUCCUUUUUCGUGUUACAUGUACAUGCAUCACGAGUUCCUACUCCGUACAUCAGUUCUUAAUUUUUUACAUCUAUAUUUUACUUUUUACUCUGUCAAAUGAUCAACAGAUAAAAUUUCUUAUAAUUCUAUUGAAUAACAGACACGUACCUCACAAUGGGGGUCGGGGAGUAUAGAAUUAAAUCCCGGUUCUCUGUUUAAAAAAAUGCAUUAACAGAGGUGAAUUUAUGGUGUGUGCCCGACCCCCUUUUUUGUGAAAAAACUCUCUUAGGAAUUUAGUAUCCACCCUUUUACGAAAAUUUCUUAAUACGCCACUACACAUAGAAAAAAAACCAUAGAACCUCUUUUCAUAAACUUGGUCGGUACAACAAAUUAUACUUACAAAGUGACUUGUAUUUUUCACUUUGUGUCUUACUUCCGGCAGUUACAGUAAUAACUUUAUUGAAUCUAGAUACUACUUAUUUCAAACGUUUAUAUUUAAAUUAAUUAGUGAGCUUUUAUUUCACAUGCUCACAUUCCAAAAGAGCCGUAGGACGUAUAAAAACGUGAACGGAUCAAAAAGGAAUUUAUCUCUUUAGUGCGAUCGGUAGACAAUAAUAUCUUUUUGACGGUAUAUAAGUCAGAUAAUGCAUAUUUUAGGGUUUUAACUUUUAGUCGGGGUGUCAUGAUUGCCCAAUGAAAGACCUCCCUACGGUCGGUCUUUCAUUUGAUCAAUCCUGGGUCGAUUCCACUGCUGGUGGACGUUUCAUCACCGAGGGUAUCACGAUCCCAGUAGUCAGCACUGCGGUGUUGACAUGAAUAUCAAACAUAAAUUUCCUGUUGACAAAACGUUAGAUUUUUCGAGAUAACUAAGGAUUUUCUUAUCCCACGAAUAGAUUACCUUAGCCGUAUUUAGCACAACUUUUUGGAAUUUCGGGUCCUCAAUGCUCUUCAACUUUUGUACUUUGGCUUAAUUACAAUUUUAAUCUGAGCAUCACUGAUGAGUCCUAUGUAGACGAAACGCGCGUCUGGCGUAUUUAAUUAUAAUCCUGGUACCUUUGAUAACUAUUUACACCACUGUGUCGAUGCCACUGCUGAUGGACGUGUCGUCCCCGAGGGUAUCACCGGCUCAGUAGUCAGCACUACGGUGUUGACAUGAAUGUCAAUUAUAUGGUCAUUUUUAUCAAUUUCCUGUUGACAAACUUCAGUUUUUUCGAUAAAAACAAGGAUUUUCUUAUUCCAGGAAUAGACUACCUUAGCCGUAUUUGGCACAACUUUUUGGAAUUUCGUGUCCUCAAUGCUCUUCAACUUCUUCUUGUACUUGUUUGGCUAUAUAACUAUUUUGAUCUGAGCGUCACUGAUGAGUAUUAUGUAGACGAAACGCGCGUCUGGCGUAUUAAAUUAUAAUCCUGGUACCUUUGAUAACUACUGACACCCCUAGAUGUGUUCUACGACAAGAUAAACCUUAAAAUAUGCAUUAUCUAUAACAUAGUCAUGCAUUAGAACUCUUUUAUUUUUAUUUUUUCUAUUACUUAAAAGACAAAAACAAUUCUUAUGUACUAGUAGAAUAUGUUCACAUUAAACAUGGCUUUACGGUUAUUUGCAUUAUUUUGUAGCUAUAUAUAUAAUGUUAAACUAAUUAAAAUACCAUUUGAUCAGAAAGGAUAUGUUAAAUGAUUAUACAUCUGUGAAUUGGACUUCCUUAUUUGAAGCUAUUAUUUUUGUUUUCAGGGAUAAAAAUAUGAGAAUAUGCACCUGUAUAUCGAUAGCAGAGAUGCAUAUACUAAAUACAAAUUCAUGACCCUGUUUAAUGAAUAGAUCAUUGAACGUUAUUAUAUAUAUAUAGUUCCAAGGAUUGGUAUAGUAAAAUUGAAAUCCUUGUAGAUAAUAAAGGCAUUAUGAAGGAGAAUGUAUUUUGCCCUAGAAUUGGGACAUAAUAUAACGGAUGAUAAAUAUAUGGUAUGUCCCAGCACAGAACGAAAGUUAAAAUAAUAAAACUUUUUUAAUCUUUGGAAAAUUCAAAACGUUAAUAAGAUAGAAUUUAACUCAGAAAUAUCGAAUACAUCUUUAAUAGUCCGGCUGAUUGGUGCAGAUAUAGAGCAAAAUUGCUCACUUGAUGAGGAAAUCAUGAAACUUUGCACAGUAGUUCUUGGUUAUAUACCCUUUGAUUUUAGCUAUGGACCCACUCAGAAAAAUCCAAUAUGGCUCCCAUUUUCAAGAUGGCGGAAAAACGUUAUAAAUAUCAAGAUUGUCCGCAAAGAAUUUUAAAUAACUUCGGAAAUUAAGUAAUGAUUCUUCAAAAAUAGUCUUCAUGUUCUUGAACUUGUUAUCAAUUAAUUUUUAAAUAUAAAUAGAAUAGUUUGGUUAUUUCUAGAACGCAUACAUUUGCAAAUAUGACUGAAUAUACAAAAACAAAUAGUGAAAAUAAAAAUGUUCAUCAAUAUGUAACAUGUUAUUGUUAUUGUUCUUGAAUCGCUUUCAGUCUAAUUGGUUGGAAUGAAAUAGGUUGAAUUGAGUCGAUUGAACAUUGAUAUAUGUCGGUUAAAUGUGGUGGCAUAUUAGGUAACUUAUCUGAACUUUGAGGUAGUGCCGAGGGCACCUUGUCUCGUGUCUCUUCAAUGUCAUGUCUUAAGUCAUUUAUCGGGUUGUACAUCUUGCGAGUUUUUACCCCAUGUCGAAAUCGUUUCUAUUAACUUUUAGAUAUAAAAAACGGCUAUAAAACUGUCGUUUCUUUGCCUUUUCCUUGUACUUAUAGUAAGUAUGUGUCAGUUCCAUAGUAAUCGAUACAUCAUGAUUUUCUUUCUUUUUUCAAAUUCCAUAUAUUAUAUAUAUUUGAUAAAUGUCUGGUUUUUGGUAUAUAAAAAGCAUUUUACAGCUAAUUUCCUAAUGCAUGUAGAGGAAGACUUUGGUAAAUUGGUUGCUUGCUUUGUUUGUUUAUUGUACAAUCAAGUUCAAUUAAAUUCAAAUAUGAUAUAUAUACAGGUUUGACUAUGUCAUAUAUAUAUUGUUUAGAGAUGUCAAUCUUAAUUACAAAGCUUGAAUAAGCAAUAAUACAAACAAAGCAAGCAAGCCAACCAAAGUUUUACUGUACAAGCAGUAGUAAAUAAGCUGUAAUAAUAUACAUGAUAUAUGAAACCUUCCUUAACCAACUAACUAAAGAUAAUUCAUGUUAGUUAUUUAUAAAAAAAAUCACUAUGAAUUAUAUUUGAUAACUUAUAAUCUUUAUUUCUGAUAACCUUUUAAAUGAAUAAAGAAUGAAAGUUUACAAAUUAUUUCCCCAUUUUGGACAUUUUUAAUAUAUUUUUUCUUAAGUUAGAAUAUAUGUUGCUAAUUUUUCUUUACUCAGUUUAGAAUUCAAUAUUGAUUGAUUGAUUGUUGGUUGUUUAACGUCCAGUGGCAAACAUUUCAUGAAUGUUCUUGUUGAAGGACAACUGUUUAUAUAUAUUAAAUAGUAUUUACGGAAUCCAUUGCUUACAUUGAAUAUAGUAAUUCUGUAUUGAUUUGGUAUAUAAUUUUUUUUCCUAUUCGAGGCGUUCAAAAUCAUGCAAGUGUCAUGUGUUCGAUUCUUAAUCUUAAUUGAGCAGGAUGUCAGUUUCCCUAACUCCCUUAUUUAUUUAUUAAAGAUUCAACUUUUUCAUUUCAGCCUAGAACAGACAAAAACUAAUGUUUUUUUUUUUAUCUGAGGCCUUUAUCUAAACCAAAGGAAAACAUUUGGUACACAGCACAACCAAUUAGUAUAAACACCCUAGCUGCAACAGUCGGGCAAAUGUGCACAGAUUCAGGACUCGGUGGAUUUAGGUCAAACCAUUCAUUACGUGCAACAGCUGCAACCCGUUUGUAUGAAUGUGGUGUUGAUGAACAAAUUAUAUCAGAGGUAACUGGACACCGGAGUGAUGCUGUGAGGGAGUACAAAAGAACUAGCGAGACAAUGUGACGAGACGCAUGUCGAAGUAUUCGCGGAGGUGUGCCUUUAAACAGGAAGUGUCGAAAAAAAUCUGUAUUGGAAACCAGGAAUUAGACAUUAAUAUAAAUGUUAAUGUUAACGUAAAUAAAAGUUAAAUGCAGUGUCUUUUCAUUUUUGUAAUUGAACUUAUUUCAGAUUUAUACUGCACUCGUUCUAUUUGAGCAGUCAAAAUGCGUUGACCGUAUAUUUCUAUGUCAUAUACAGUCACUGAUCUAAUAUCACUUUUCCUCAUGAAUAUUUAAAUAGAAAUGGCCGAAACUAUAAUUAAUUAUUCAACCUGUUCUUGUUUUCAAUGUAUACAACGACUCAAACUUAUUUCUUUAGCAAUUUUUUGAAAAAAAAAACAUAUUUCACUUGUUAAUAUUUAUGGUUUGCAAACUAUAAAUCAUUAUGUUUUAUGCUUAUUGUUGGUAUUUAGUUCAUUCUCAAACAAAUUCGUUCACCAUCGAUUGCUAGUUUCAACAGGUAGAUGUACAUUUCAUUUUGCUGUAUAUUUUUCCGCCUGCAUGAUGUGAGGCCUUUUUAUAAAAGGGGGAAGUUUCCCAAUAUAUAAAUCAAAUAAUAACUUUAACACAUUAAACAACAAUUGGAAUUAUUUUUUUUGUGAUUGCAGUAUAAAGACAAUAAUAGUGCAUUGACUUGACAUAUAAGAAUGAGGCUUAGAAACGGGGAAAUGCGAGGCUCUGUCAAUGCACUAUUAUUGUCUAUUUAUCGGUCCGAAGUUUCAGUGAUAAAUACUCGUCAGACAACAUUACUCGAUAAUGAGCUAUUGUAGCCUUAAUGAGUUUUGCCAAAGGCUCUCUCAUUGUUAAAGCACAGUGGGUUCUUGAAAAAGAAUCCACGCUUAUUGAAUAGAAAAAUUUCACAACAAUGGUUUAACUUGUUCGAAUGAUAUUGAACAAACGAGCUGUGUUUCUGUAGUUCGCUACUAGCAAUUGAUUAUUUGGUCCACUAUUAUGCAGUGAGACAGGUUCACUUAGACCAUCACUUGCUGUCAACACUUCUCUAUGCCGUUGUCCAUCAGGGGAGAUAACUACCACAUUGUUAGAUUGGUAUCCCACCACGUACACAUUACCAUCAAUAUCUACAUCUAUACCGAGAGGAAUCUUAAGAAUGCUUUUAUUUUGGAAUGUCCAUUGCAUUUCACCUUGUAGAUUAUAACAUGUAACAGUGUGUGUUCCAUUGUUUGUAUGAUAUAUAUUGUCCCUAAAUGAUGCGGUGCAACAGUGUUUUGGCAUUUUAUUUCGAACUACUGUACUUAUAGACUCGUCGUGCAGAUUAAUCAUUCGUAUCCCUUUGUCGUUACCGGAAUAAAUCAAACGAUUUUCUUUCAAUGCAAUACCAUAACAAUUAGAAUCAAGUGAAAUUGUUUUCUUAAUUUGUUUCUUUUCCCAGUCGAUAAUAGUAAUACACUUCUUCGUAUUGCAUUGUCUUCACUGAUGUACGCUAUAUCAAAAACGUGACAUGACAUCUUCACCUCAAAGUCUUUUAACCCGUUCAUGUUAAAUAUAACUAGAUGACCAUCAUAAUAGUAAGUUAAUGCAAAUCUAUCAUCGGGCAGCAUGCAACAUCCGUUAGUUUGGAUUCCUUGAGUGUCGAAGGUCUUUUGUAGCGUUAGGUUUAUUUUUUCAAUGGGUCUAGAUUGACUGGUCGGUACCAUCAUUUGGGCUUGUUUGGACUUUUUCUUAAUCAGAACAAUGUUGCAAGGUUUAGCUUCAAUACGCACUUCCCCAAAACUGAUGAUAUCGGACAUGAUAUUCUUGAUAGAGGUGUUGAUCUUAUAUGAAAAAAAGAAGUUGUUUGAAAUUCUUGCUUUCCUUUAACGACAGCAGAAAUUGAUUUUGGAUAUAAACUUCCUCCUCUAUCUUUUUAAUUGAAAGAUACACUUGAAGAUCUGUUGCAUAUUGCUUGAUGUUCAUGAAGUUUCUCUGACAUUCUGCUAUUUCUUUUUCUUGCUUUUCUA
RNAcentral lists this long non-coding RNA (8457 nucleotides) under Mytilus galloprovincialis (Mediterranean mussel). The record is from RNAcentral. Lineage: Eukaryota; Metazoa; Mollusca; Bivalvia; Mytilida; Mytilidae.